This 94-nucleotide transfer RNA is filed under the name Rhodoferax mekongensis. RNAcentral describes it as "tRNA-Ser". It matches the Rfam family "tRNA". Rfam says of the family: Transfer RNA (tRNA) molecules are approximately 80 nucleotides in length. Their secondary structure includes four short double-helical elements and three loops (D, anti-codon, and T loops). The record is from RNAcentral. Lineage: Bacteria; Pseudomonadati; Pseudomonadota; Betaproteobacteria; Burkholderiales; Comamonadaceae.
GGAUACGAGGUUUUUUGAUUUUAAUUUUUCCCCCUGCUAAGGGAGUAUGGGGUGUAGAGCCUCAUCGAGGGUUCGAAUCCCUCCGUUUCCGCCA